UCAAUUCCGCAUCAUCUCCUUCGUCGUCUUCAUCUCUUCAUUUUCUGAAAAAGAGCCUAAUCCACCAUGGAUAUUGGUGAUUCAGGUCCCCAAACUCUACCAAAAUGAUCCCACGGAACCACUAGAUCACCCUCAUACUGAAUCUAUGAACCACUUCUCCUUACAUCCCUCGAAUCUUGAAUCCAGAAUCAGAAUCUCUAAGACCCAAGUCCAAAUCCAAGCAUGCAAGGUGAUUGCUCCAGUCUUCAUAAGAGUUUAGAGUUGAUUUUUCAUGAAAUAGUGUUCUUUGCUUGUUCUUGACAAAGAACAAGCGGUCGAUAUUUUUUGGCGAUGAAAUCAGAAAGUUAGGAUCGAAGUCAAGUGUUGUAAGGUAAUUUCUUCUUCUUUUCGAAUCAUCCUGAUAUUCCAG
This 409-nucleotide long non-coding RNA is filed under the name Nicotiana benthamiana. RNAcentral's name for it is "long non-coding RNA (NBEN_LNC031376)". The record is from RNAcentral. Lineage: Eukaryota; Viridiplantae; Streptophyta; Magnoliopsida; Solanales; Solanaceae.